RNAcentral lists this long non-coding RNA (480 nucleotides) under Equus caballus (horse). Its description in RNAcentral is "lncRNA (ENSECAG00000044343.1)". Lineage: Eukaryota; Metazoa; Chordata; Mammalia; Perissodactyla; Equidae. The record is from RNAcentral.
GUCAGUGUUUUCGGGGAGGAAAUGUGCCGCCGACGCGGUGGGGUGGGACAGAGGGGAAGGGACACUGGUGUCAGAGCGCCUGCUUCCCUUCUGAUGCCUUGACUCCCUGCUGGGCUUACAGCACACACGGGGCUUGGGGAAGCCCUGCGAUCUGCGACAAACCUCAGAACCCAUCUGGAAGUGAGGGGCGCAGGGGGCUACCAGAAACUGUGGGCCCUGCACACGCGAAGCAAGGGUCCAGAGGUCCUUUUGAUUGCUGGACACAGCAUCAUGACCCUCGGAGAGAUGAAUGGCAGAACUCUGUUACUUCCAGCUUCUCUGAGAGGCGGUGGCCAGACAGGCCCACAUGGGGAUUGCAGCCGGGACAGGUAACAGCAAGCCAGGGCUGUAGGGGCAGCUUCUGUGUGGCAUCAGGUGGGGUUAGCUGGCUUUCGGGGGCUCCCUGUGGACUGGCAGUUGGAAUUAUGUUGUGGACUCUUG